RNAcentral lists this ribosomal RNA (274 nucleotides) under uncultured bacterium. RNAcentral's name for it is "partial 16S ribosomal RNA". It matches the Rfam family "Bacterial small subunit ribosomal RNA", at positions 523 to 796 of the family's 1533-position model. The record is from RNAcentral.
AUACGGAGGGGGCAAGCGUUGUUCGGAAUUACUGGGCGUAAAGAGUACGUAGGCGGAUCGUUAAGUUAGAGGUGAAAUCCCAGGGCUCAACCCUGGAACUGCCUUUAAUACUGGCGAUCUAGAGAUCGAGAGAGGUGAGUGGAAUUCCCAGUGUAGAGGUGAAAUUCGUAGAUAUUGGAAAGAACACCAGUGGCGAAGGCGGCUCACUGGCUCGAUACUGACGCUGAGGUACGAAAGCGUGGGGAGCAAACAGGAUUAGAAACCCCAGUAGUCC